AACCUUUACACUGCACGACAGUGCGAUAAGGGAAUCCCAAGUGCGUAGGCAUAGAGCCUACGCUUUUGUCCACCGUAGGGAGGUGGACGAAUAAGGGCUGGGCAAGACCGGUGCCAGCCGCCGCGGUAAUACCGGCAGCCCGAGUGAUGGCCGAUCUUAUUGGGCCUAAAGCGUCCGUAGCUGGCCGCACAAGUCCAUCGGAAAAUCCACCCGCUCAACGGGUGGGCGUCCGGUGGAAACUGUGUGGCUUGGGACCGGAAGGCGCGACGGGUACGUCCGGGGUAGGAGUGAAAUCCCGUAAUCCUGGACGGACCGCCGAUGGCGAAAGCACGUCGCGAGAACGGAUCCGACAGUGAGGGACGAAAGCUAGGGUCUCGAACCGGAUUAGAUACCCGGGUAGUCCUAGCCGUAAACAAUGCCUGCUAGGUGUGGCUCCCACUACGAGUGGGUGCUGUGCCGUAGGGAAGCCGCUAAGCAGGCCGCCUGGGAAGUACGUCUGCAAGGAUGAAACUUAA
This 515-nucleotide ribosomal RNA is filed under the name uncultured archaeon. Its description in RNAcentral is "bacterial SSU rRNA". It matches the Rfam family "Archaeal small subunit ribosomal RNA", at positions 345 to 859 of the family's 1478-position model. The record is from RNAcentral.